This is a small nucleolar RNA of Zalophus californianus (California sea lion), 83 nucleotides long. Its record names the gene SNORD115. It matches the Rfam family "Small nucleolar RNA SNORD115". From Rfam's summary of the family: HBII-52 is a member of the C/D class of snoRNAs, which contain the C (UGAUGA) and D (CUGA) box motifs. HBII-52 is encoded in a tandemly repeated array with another C/D snoRNA, HBII-85, in the Prader-Willi syndrome (PWS) region of chromosome 15. HBII-52 is exclusively expressed in the brain but is absent in PWS patients. Lineage: Eukaryota; Metazoa; Chordata; Mammalia; Carnivora; Otariidae. The record is from Ensembl.
GGGUCAAUGAUGAGAUCUCAUAUUGUCUCGAAGAGAGAUGAUGACUUAAAAAAAUCAUGCUCAAUAGGAUUAUGCGUAGGUCC